Molecule: transfer RNA, 76 nt
Filed under: Phycisphaerae bacterium
Lineage: Bacteria; Pseudomonadati; Planctomycetota; Phycisphaerae
Description: tRNA-Arg
Rfam family: tRNA
About the family: Transfer RNA (tRNA) molecules are approximately 80 nucleotides in length.
Source: RNAcentral
UGCGCCCGUAGCUCAGCAGGAUAGAGCAGCGGUUUCCUAAACCGCAGGUCGGAGGUUCGAAUCCCCCCGGGCGCGU